AAUUGCAUCUCAAGUGUUUGGAUCCUUUCAACAUCCACAUGCAAGAUGAAGCUUAAAAGUUCAAAUAAACUGCAAAGUUUCAGUGACGUUUGGACUUGAAGCUGGUGGAUUCCAGCAGACCUUCCCUUCAGGCUCUCUGGGUCGUCUGAGGACUCAUUCUCAUUCUGCUGCUGCCAGGUUUGGGAGAAUGUAAAGUCUACCCAAUAAAACAAUGUAAACAUCAAUACCUAAAGAGACGUGACAUUAGAACAGCUCAAUGACAGACAAAAGGGAAACUGGCGUCUCUCUGGCAGACGUCUGCCUUCGGUGUGAAGGAGGAAGAAACAGCAGCUGUGGUUUUUCACACUUGUCAUCAGAUGGAUGAAUUCUGAGGACAGGAAGUGGAGUUAGUGAGGAGGGGCGGAGACUGAAAGCGGAGGUGAGAAGAGCGUCGGUGUCCGUCGACGUUUCACAGAGUGAAGAUGAAGCUGGUGCUGAGCAGCCUGCUGCUCGCCUCUCUCUGCACCCCCUCGUCCUGGAGUGAUUCAUCAGGAACGCUUCGGGUGACACAGAGUCCUGAUGUUUCCGUCCAGGAGGGGGGGACGGCAAACAUCUCCUGCUGCUGGACGGGGGGCAUUGAAGGAGUUUGGGUUUCCAUCAAGAUGAAGCCCACAAACAUGAAGAACAAUACAAAUUCAACAAUUCUAUUAACAGAAAAUCACAAGGGUAAUUCAACUAAUUGCUCAGAUUGGAUCAUUAAGAGUGCCUCAAUAGAGGAUUCUGGGAUAUACAUCUGUAAAGUGACAGUGUACAUACCCACUUUGAUUGAGACUGAGGGAAAAGGUACAGUGGUCACAGUUACACCUAAAGGAGGAGAAGAGAAAGAAGAUGGAAGAGAAGGUUCUUCAGGCAGUCUUCCUGUAAUAAUCGGACUGGCUGUUGUGGGUCCGCUGCUGCUCAUCGCUCUCACCUGCUUCUUCACGGUUCUGCGAAGGAAACGAGCACAAGCAGCGCGGCUGAUCUAUGAAACCCCCCACGUUGACUCGGACUUGGACAAACACAGCACCACCUCCUCCACGGGCUCGUCGCAGUGGCGCCAGGUGGUCGUGUACGAGUCGGUCGACUACUUUCAGCACGGGCAGACAAAAGAAAGCCAAUGAGGAGCCAUUGUGGAAAGCUCCGCCGCCGCCGCCGCCGCCGCUUUCCAGCUUGUAAAUAUUGUAAAAUAACAGCUAAGCUCUGUAAAGACUUCCACGUUUGUUCCUUUUUUUUUUUUUUUUGCAUUUUUCUAUAAACUGGCAGCUCUGGUAUCAGUUUGUGGUCUUGCUUGUUUUCUUUAAAAAUUGAUUAGAAAGAGGAAGUGGGUUAAACUGCUCACUGAAGGGUCUUGAUUCUGCAGUGACAGGCGCCAGUUUCACAAUCGCUCGCAGAGAGCGCGGCGCGUGGAAAGUGUGGUGUGGCGGGGUCACGGCAUAAUAGGUCAAGCCCAGGAAGUGGAAAGAGCGCCUGUGACGGGCGAAGCCUCUGCUUAAGAUGCAACGUCUCGGGGCGGUAGAUGUAGAAACAGCUGCACACUGACGCUCACAUUUUCCACAUUGUCCUCACAACGCAUUGUUUUUAACGCUCACGUUAAACAAGCUGCGCAAGAAACUUUAACUUCAUGUUUUAAACUGGUUUUUCACCACAUUUACCUAUUUUUGCACAGUACACACUCGUAUACAUGUUUACUCUUCAGCCGCUCUGCAGUGGCGUCCUUCAGCUUCAAGAAAAUUCUGUGCAAAUAAACUUUUUUUCGAUCUUAUUGUCAAAAGGACUGAUUGCACGACUCUGAUUCGUGGCUGAACAAAACUGAAAACUUUAAAAAAAAAAAAAAAAGCAAAAAAUUGAUAAAAUGACAAAAGUGACCAAAAAAAAAAGGGUUAAACAAGCUAAAAAAUAUAAAUAAAUAAAAUGUAAAAUAGAAGUCGUAGAGUUGGUUGGGUGAAUGUAACUGAGAAUCUCAGCUUCCAUGACGACAUGCUUCGUUCUUGCACUUAUGUUUCUGAAUAGUUUUCACGUUGACACAGCAACGUUCCGAAAAACAACAUCCGUCGGCACGGAAACUUUCGGCAAACCCAAACCACAAACAGACCUUACUCUGUUUUGACUUUAAAAUGUCGCUGUGAAAACAAGGCCGUACUUUUGGGGUUAUUUAAGUAACCGCCAUUUGCUCUUCUUCUAAAUUACAGCGAUCAAGAUUGAGGUGCAGUUUUUGAGGGUAUUUCAUACCAGACCUAACAUACAUUUAUUUUGAAGCCCAAAUUAUCAUAUUCAAUUGGUACCUUUUGAAUUUAGCGUCUGUUAAAAUGUUGCUGUCACCUCAGAACGUUUCCUCACCUGGCUCACCGUGACUUUUGUUUGCCUAUUUCAUUCUAACUAGAGAUGUUUGAUACCACUUUUUUUUUUUUUCAGGACGAUACCGAGUACGAAUACUCCAUUUUCCUUACUCACCGAUACCGAGUACUCAUACAAAUACUUUUGAUACAUAACAUUUCAAAUAAUGCAAUGACAGAUCUUUUUUGAAAAAUGACUUUCAUUUCUAAAAAAAAAAAAAAAAAAAAAAAAAAAAAGCAGCACAGGCUCUCUGCUUAAGUCCAAAAUAAUAGCAGUCUGAGUUUAAGUGAAAAAUAAAGCAAACAACUCUUUGAGUAUUACACCUUUUUAAAUGAAAUUAAGUGCAAGAUAAAACAAUUUCCUGGAGUUUUCA
Salarias fasciatus (jewelled blenny) is the source of this 2725-nucleotide long non-coding RNA. Lineage: Eukaryota; Metazoa; Chordata; Actinopteri; Blenniiformes; Blenniidae. The record is from Ensembl.